This 405-nucleotide unclassified non-coding RNA is filed under the name soil metagenome. Its description in RNAcentral is "partial contains 5.8S ribosomal RNA, internal transcribed spacer 2, and large subunit ribosomal RNA". The stretch from base 1 to 121 matches the Rfam family "5.8S ribosomal RNA", at positions 35 to 154 of the family's 154-position model. The record is from RNAcentral.
GAUGAAGAACGCAGCGAAAUGCGAUAAGUAAUGUGAAUUGCAGAAUUCAGUGAAUCAUCGAAUCUUUGAACGCACCUUGCGCCCUUUGGACAUUCCGAAGGGCAUGCCUGUUUGAGUAUCAUGAACACCUCAACUCUCACGGCUUGUCCGUGAUGAGCUUGGACUUUGGGGGUCUUGCCGGCCUGUGGUCGGCUCCUCUCAAAUGGAUCAGCUUGCCAGUGUUUGGUGGCAUCACAGGUGUGAUAACUCUCUGCGCUUGUGGUUUUCCAUCAGAUAACCUUCAGUGAUAUGGAGGUUCGCUGGAGCUCACAAAUGUCUCUCCUUAGUGAGGACAGCUCUUUGAACGUUUGAUCUCAAAUCAGGUAGGACUACCCGCUGAACUUAAGCAUAUCAAUAAGCGGAGGA